Molecule: ribosomal RNA, 771 nt
Filed under: uncultured Neocallimastigales
Lineage: Eukaryota; Fungi; Neocallimastigomycota; Neocallimastigomycetes; Neocallimastigales
Description: partial large subunit ribosomal RNA
Rfam family: Eukaryotic large subunit ribosomal RNA
Source: RNAcentral
UAGAUGCGAGAGUAGAGCAUAUCAAUAAGCGGAGGAAAAGAAACUAACAAGGAUUCCCCUAGUAACGGCGAGUGAAGCGGGAAGAGCUCAAAUUUGAAAUCUUCAAGGGUUUCCCUUGACGAAUUGUAGUUUAAAGAAGUGUUUUCUGUUAGAGAGGUGGUAAAAGUUCUUUGGAAUAGGACAUCAUAGAGGGUGAGAAUCCCGUAUUUGAUCACUUUCUACUAACGUUGUGAUACACUUUCAAAGAGUCGGAUUGUUUGGGAAUGCAGUCCAAAAUGGGUGGUAAAUUUCAUCUAAAGCUAAAUAUUGGCGAGAGACCGAUAGCGAACAAGUACCGUGAGGGAAAGAUGAAAAGAACUUUGAAAAGAGAGUUAAACAGUACGUGAAAUUGUCAAAAGGGAAGCGUUUGACACCAGUGUUGCUUUUCCGAAAAUCAAUUAUGAAUGGCUUGAUUUUAAGUUUCAUGACCUUAAAAGCUUGUUUCUUAUUUUUCAUGUCUUUCGUAAUGCACUUUUCGGUUAACAAGUCAACAUCAAUUUCUUUUGUUGUAAAAGGUUAAGAGGAAGGUGGCUUUACUUUCGGGUAAAGUGUUUAUAGCCUUUUAACUCUGCAAUCGGAGAUUGAGGUCUGCAGCGUAGAUCCUUCGGGGUUAGAUACGUUUGUGCUAAGUUAUAGCUUUUCAUAGACAACUUGUUGACUAUGUUAGUCUUGUAGCUUACUCGCAUAUGCUAUUUUACCUACGCUUAGGAUGUUGACACACGCGCGUGCUCG